GCGUAUUGGAAAAUUUGCGCGACUUUUAUAUUUCAGAGCACGAUCGAAUCCGUUGAGUCAGUGAAAUGUCUGUUUCUAACAUGCAAAUUGUUUGCACUUUUAGAAAACGGUUGAUGCGUCUGCAGAUGAAGAUGGCCAAAAUAAAGAGCUAGUGACUCGAGUCUGUUGCACGAAAGUAUAACGUUCUUUUAUGCCGGUUUUCCACUAGCGAAUUUCUUCGUGCGAAACGAUAUUUAUAUGGUUAAAAUUUAAAAGACUUUAUUAUAAGGUGAUAAGUAAUUUUACAUAAGUUUCAGCUGACUGAGCAGAGAGCUCAUAAGACAAAAAAAUAUACAAUAUAGUCCGUUCGUGCGUCAAAAUUCACUUUAGCUUCUAUAAUCUCUAGACUAUAUAUUAUCUUUGUCCAAAUAUCGUUGUAUUCUACCAUCAUAAAUAUCUAUAUCUUGU
This is a non-coding RNA of Paramuricea clavata, 447 nucleotides long. The record is from the annotation of a GenBank genome assembly. NCBI's taxonomy places the organism in Eukaryota, Metazoa, Cnidaria, Anthozoa, Malacalcyonacea, Plexauridae.